This is a long non-coding RNA of Amblyraja radiata (thorny skate), 117 nucleotides long. RefSeq lists it as uncharacterized. The record is from RefSeq and is a predicted model, not a curated record. The transcript has 3 exons. Lineage: Eukaryota; Metazoa; Chordata; Chondrichthyes; Rajiformes; Rajidae.
UGGUCUGCUCUACAUAGGAGGCCACGUCGUGAACACAGGGAAAGGAGCAGAGGGGGAAAAGAAGAGACCGUGAGAGAAAGGGAAGAACGCAGUAGAGAGGGAGGGGGAGAGUGGGAG